This 379-nucleotide long non-coding RNA is filed under the name Androctonus crassicauda. Lineage: Eukaryota; Metazoa; Arthropoda; Arachnida; Scorpiones; Buthidae. The record is from RNAcentral.
UAAGAUAUUAGUUUCUGGUUUUCAAGAUUUUAUGAUAGUUACAAAUGAUGAUCUACUUGUAAGCAAAGCUAGAAAAAUUCAAAACCUUUGGAUAUGAUAAUGACAUAAUGAUGUUGUACAUUGGAACUUUUGUGACUCACAUAUUGACAUUUCAUGAUAUCAUCCAUUGUACAUCAUAUUAACAUCAAAUACUGGUGGCAUUCUGGGACAAAAUCCAUUGUUACAUUGUACAUUAUAAGUAUUGUGAUGUUACACACUGGUGACAUUAUGGGGGCAUCAUCCAUUGUUAGAUUAUAUAUCAGAACAUUUGUGAUAGCACUUAUUGCUCUUUACAUAAUCAGCACUACACAACCCAUUGCUUCAUAUUGUCUAAUAUAUA